CAGACGAUGCGUCAUGCAUAUCAAUAAGCGGAGGAAAAGAAACUAACAAGGAUUCCCUCAGUAACGGCGAGUGAAGCGGGAAGAGCUCAAAUUUGAAAUCUUCAAGGUUUUACCUUGACGAAUUGUAGUUUAAAGAAGUGUUUUCUGUUACGAUCGUAAUAUAAGUUCUUUGGAAUAGGACAUCACAGAGGGUGAGAAUCCCGUCUAUGAUUGCGAUUUGUAGCUUUGUGAUACACUUUCAAAGAGUCGGAUUGUUUGGGAAUGCAGUCCAAAAUGGGUGGUAAAUUUCUUCUAAGGCUAAAUAUUGACGAGAGACCGAUAGCGAACAAGUACCGUGAGGGAAAGAUGAAAAGAACUUUGAAAAGAGAGUUAAACAGUACGUGAAAUUGUCAAAAGGGAAGCGUUUGACACCAGUGUUGUUUUUCUGAAAAUCAAUUAAAGAACUGUUUAUGCUAAGUUGUUUAGACUUUAUCAGCUAACUGUUUAGUUUUGAGCUUUUCUUUAAUGCACUUUUCAGUUAACAAGUCAACAUCAAUUUCUUUUGCUGUAAAAAAGCUUGAGGAAGGUGGCUUGAGAUUCGUCUUAAGUGUUUAUAGCCUCUUGCCUAUGCAGUCGGAGAGAUUGAGGUCUGCAGCGUAGAUCCUUCGGGGCUAAAUGCAUUUGUGCUAAGUUAUAGCAUUUUAUAGACAACUUGUUGACUAUGAUUUGUCUUGUAGCUUACUCGCUUAUGUUAUUUUACCUACGCUUAGGAUGUUGACUGAUAUGUAGUCGUA
This 773-nucleotide ribosomal RNA is filed under the name uncultured Neocallimastigales. RNAcentral's name for it is "partial large subunit ribosomal RNA". It matches the Rfam family "Eukaryotic large subunit ribosomal RNA", at positions 18 to 644 of the family's 3401-position model. The record is from RNAcentral. Lineage: Eukaryota; Fungi; Neocallimastigomycota; Neocallimastigomycetes; Neocallimastigales.